This 80-nucleotide non-coding RNA is filed under the name Symbiodinium sp. CCMP2430. The record is from RNAcentral. Lineage: Eukaryota; Dinophyceae; Suessiales; Symbiodiniaceae.
AAGCACGAAGUGAAUGAGAGAAAGAAAAAAAGCACAAAAGGAAAAAGAGCGGUGUGUGUGUUCUUUCUUUCUUCAUUUCA